GCGUUGUCCGGAAUUAUUGGGCGUAAAGAGCUCGUAGGCGGCUCAGCAAGUCGGCUGUGAAAUCCCGAGGCUCAACCGCAGAAUUGCCUUCUAGACUGCCGUGCUUGAGCACAGUAGAGGCAGACGGAAUUCCCGGUGUAGCGGUGGAAUGCGUAGAGAUCGGGAAGAACACCGGUGGCGAAGGCGGUCUGCUGGGCUGUUGCUGACGCUGAGGCGCGACAGCGUGGGGAGCAAACAGG
This 239-nucleotide ribosomal RNA is filed under the name uncultured bacterium. RNAcentral's name for it is "partial 16S ribosomal RNA". It matches the Rfam family "Bacterial small subunit ribosomal RNA", at positions 538 to 776 of the family's 1533-position model. The record is from RNAcentral.